AGCUACGGAAGCCCGCCUGGCCCGAAACGCGAUCACGGAGCAGCCCCGCCCCCUCCGGCAUAGCUCCGCCCCUGCCAUCAUAGCUCCGCCCCGCGCUUAGUAGUUUGUGGAGUCACAGCGCCUGCGACCAGGGAGGGGACCGAAGAGAGUCUGGAACACAGUUCUUCAAUGACAGGGGCUGAAGUAAAUAACGUGUAGAAUAUCGCAUAAUUUUAAAAUGUUCUUACAUACCGAAUGGGAAUCAAUGAUGAAUGAAGGAAGUUUGCUUUUAAUCCUGUUGUUUACAACAGCAGCCCUGAGUGUAAACGGGCUUACGGUAGCAGAAUUCAUCCAAAUGGCUUCUAUUUGGAGUCAUCAUCGGACCAAAAUAGAAAAACCCCACAAAGGAUCCGGCUUUGGUUCCCAUCAUCCACGUGGUGGCUCACAAACAUCUGUAACUCCAGUUCCAGGGCAUCCGGAGCCCUCAACUGACUCUUGAGAGCACUGGGCCCACAUGCGCACAGACAUACAUGGAGGCAAAAUACACAUGUAAAAUAAAUAAAUCUAAAA
Long non-coding RNA from Mus musculus (house mouse), 549 nucleotides. RefSeq annotates it as predicted gene, 32058. The record is from RefSeq and is a predicted model, not a curated record. Lineage: Eukaryota; Metazoa; Chordata; Mammalia; Rodentia; Muridae. The transcript is spliced from 3 exons.